Long non-coding RNA from Vicia villosa (hairy vetch), 851 nucleotides. RefSeq lists it as uncharacterized. The transcript has 3 exons. NCBI's taxonomy places the organism in Eukaryota, Viridiplantae, Streptophyta, Magnoliopsida, Fabales, Fabaceae. The record is from RefSeq and is a predicted model, not a curated record.
CACGCAGAUUACUUCAUAUUCCACAUGCAUGGAUAAUUCUUGGAACAGUCUUGCAAUAUUAAUUUUAUCACAGGUUGCCCAAAAUUACACGGAAGAGAUUUUCAACAGUGAAACUUUUGCUUUGAUAACAAUGGAACUUUGUAUACACUACCUUUUUAAAAUAUUUCACAGGUAAUUGAUUUCCUGGGACUAAUAACUUAUUGUAGUUUCUUACUUGAUUGACAUUUUUGCAAAGGAUAUAUACACGAUGUAGCACAAUAAUGGAGUAAUUUACUGUAUUGAGACCAAUGUGUGUCUGUUGUGUAUGAUUCUAGAUAACUGGUUUUUAUUUGAGCUACUCUCAUUUUUUGCAUAUUUAAGGAUGAUUAUAUUACUAACUUGCUCUAAUUAUGAUUACUCAGGAUGACCUAGCAUCCAAAAUCAAAGGUUCCGACAUUAGUUUUAGUUGACUACAAGUGUGUUAAGGAGGCUUCAACUUAGGUUUACUUAUCAGAGGCUAUUGACAUGGUCAACUGUACAACCUUUGUUAAAGAGAAUAAGUGACAAUGAUGUUGUGCUAGAUGAUAUAUUUAGAAUUUUCAUGGUAGAUGAUUCCAUCAGUUUAUAGCAAGAGAUCAUUGAGGAUGAGAGCUUCCAAUCAAAAGGAAAAUAAAAUAGCUUCAAAGUGUCACCAGUUAUGAAGCUCAAUUUAAAGAUUUCCUCAUGUAACUGUACUGGAAGAUGACUUGGUUUUUUAGUUAGAUAUAUUUAGUGUUACUACUUGUGAAUUGGCCUUUGAUUCAUUUUGGUUGUUGCUGUUUUUAGUUAACAGAGUUAGGUUGGAACAUAUUUUAGUAAAUUGAUGUUGGUAA